UUCUAGUUUCCACUUUGUGAUGCCAGAGUCACAAUUCUAGUCAAUCUUAGGGUAUCAUUUUAGUAAGUAGUAACUUCCAUCAAACUUUGCAAAUUGGGAUUACGUAUGUUAAGCAUAUUUUAAUUUCAGUUGCUAAGAGAAACUAACAGAUUAUCACUGUAUAAUGUGUCUGCUGUUACUUCUGCUUAUUGAAGAAAUCACUGAACUGCCACUGAAGAGUGGGAGGCGCCUAAGAAAGGCUGAGUUCUGGAAUGCUGCCAACACAUGAGAAGCAUGAAUUUCUCCUAAGAUGUUUAGGGUUUUCAUUUGAAAGGAGUCAUCUCAUUCAGUAGUAUCCUUCUCUUUAAAUUGACAUGGUUCUAUAUUUGGCAUUUCAUUGGAAAUGACAUCACAACCAAGUCCCUUAUUCGAGUAGGCAAGAUAAGGAGGAUAGGAUAAAUAUUUGAAGUAUAGUUUAUCUGCCCAUCCUGGAAGGGGAAGAACAAUAGCUUAUCCAUGUUCAGGAAGCUAACGUGACCUAAAAAUCCUAGCGUUGCAUGGGAGCUAAUGAGGCUGUUUACCCUGUUCCCUCGUCUUUGGGGAGUAUUACAGUAAACUUAAGUCAGCCUUGCAGAAAGUCAAGUAGAAAAAAACACCUGCUUGUAUUUGUGUAACUUUCUGAAGGAAGACCAAGAUAAUCAUCUACAUGGCCAAGAGCCUUCUUUGGUUCCCUUGCACCUUGCUGUUACAAGUUGUAGGAUACCCUUGGGUGUUUUUGCUGUGGUUCAGUGUUACAGGCAGAAGGUACAGUACUGAAGUCAUUUUAAUAAUUUGUGUUAAUAAAGCCCUUCUGUCAAAACUUACCGCAAUGAGUGAGGCGAUAGAGAAGCUGCAUUUUAACCACUUGUGAGAUUAACCAUGUGAAGAUAAGGAUCUAGCCUAUUUUAAAAUGCUAUCUUGCAAACUUUACAGGAAGUAUAUUCUUGUUUAACAGUCCUGUCAGGAGAUGAUUCCUUGUGUCUAAUGUCUGUACCCUGCUGUGUGAUGUAAGCAUUCCACUUGCUUGUUGUUCAGUGAACAUGUUUCCUAGCUCUUUAUAACCUUAACUUUCUCAUUUCAAAGUGAAUCAUUUCAUAUUUUUAACAUUUCUUCAGUAUUAAUUCCCCACACAUAUGCCUGCUAGAUCUUCUUUCCCAGUCUUCUGUUUUCUGUCAGCCUUCCCUGAACUGUUCACAGCCACCCGGAGUUAUAAAGCCAAGAAUUAAACAAAGCAUUCUGUGGACAGGAGAGCCAAUGCUGGAGAUGAAGGUAUAUUCCUGAAUGGCACACGAGGAACUCCAGUGAACAACCAUAACCGGUGGAGCAAGUGUGACAGUGUCACAUAAACCCAUGUGAGGAAGAAACCACAGCACAUGCUUCCACUGAGAGAUAACUGCUGCUUGCAACAUGGAGACAAGGAUGUCCUGUUGGAACUAAAUAUGGAAAGUUCCCAGAAGACUGUCCAUCACUCUGAUCAAGCAUUAGAAUUCCCUCUACAGUCACGAGAAGGAAAGGUAUCCAUUGUCAUGGCUGCUUUGAUGAUAUUCUCCUACAAGAAAAACUUUUUCACUUUAUCCGCCACCCCCCGACGUUUUCUUUAAACAACAGCAGCAGAUGUUGGAGAUGGCGUCAGAGGCUGCUGGAGACCAGCUUUCCUACAAGAGGGUCCCACGUAGGAGUUGUCCUACUUCUUCUCAACGUCUCCAAAUCAGGGUCUGAGAGUCCGUUCUGACGACUUGGACUCGGGCCUGUGCUGGUGUAGUUUAAGGUCCGGAGCAUCCCUCGAAAAAGUUUUUAUGUUCCUGACAGAUCAUCAGUAAAAUCACCAUGUCCUCAUUUGGAGUUUCCAGCUCUCUGUUUGAACUGAACUCUGUCCAGCUAAAAAGGGAAAGAAAAUACUCCAUGUGCUCUUUACUGCAGGAUCCAGCCAGAUAUGAGCCUACUUUAAUUGAAAGUGGCACCAAAAUCCAGAUCAUUGCUCUGACUGGAGACUCCAAAUAGCUCCCCAAGGCCAUGAACCUUGUGUAGACUUGGGGUUUGGAAGAGGCCCCUUUGGAUCUCACAAAUGCACCUCAGUCCACCUCCGGAGCCUGAAAAUGUUUAUCAGAAUGAUAUGAAGUUCAAAUUAACAUCAGAUGACUAGCCAAGGCAUCCCCAUUUAUGUUAUAAAAUCACGUUUUCCAAGCUGGAAAGGACCUUGAAGAUCUUUGAGUCCAAUCUCUUCAUCCUACAAAUGAGGAAAGGUGGGGAGAGCAAGCAGCAAGUUGAAGAGGGUCAUCAAAGGACAUGCUGCUUGUUGGUAACAGAGACAGGGCCAGAACCCAACCAGGUCUCCUAUCUCCCUGUGAACAUAAUUCUUUCCACUACAGCCCGUCCGACUUUCCAGAAAACCAAAACAUUGACAAGACCCUGCCGAUGGCCCACCAACUUCAGUCAAUAUUUGCUACAACAAAAUUCCAGCAGAACCUAGAGAUUUUGAAAUCUGCACUCAUGUGACUUGAUGUGUUCAACUGGAAAAAGACAAUUUUUGACUUUUCUCUAUGUGACAAUUCUACCUGUUGAUUUAGGUCACCCACAGUGAGUGUUUUGUACUUCCUUACCAAAUUCACACUCCAUAAAUGUUCCAUAAACA
Molecule: long non-coding RNA, 2650 nt
Organism: Piliocolobus tephrosceles (Ugandan red Colobus)
Lineage: Eukaryota; Metazoa; Chordata; Mammalia; Primates; Cercopithecidae
Exons: 3
Source: RefSeq, a predicted model, not a curated record